This 951-nucleotide ribosomal RNA is filed under the name Triticum aestivum (bread wheat). Its description in RNAcentral is "partial small subunit ribosomal RNA". The record is from RNAcentral. Lineage: Eukaryota; Viridiplantae; Streptophyta; Magnoliopsida; Poales; Poaceae.
AUGAAGACUUCCAAGAAGCAGAAGGAGGCGCCGCCGACCCCCGAGCUGCCGGACUUCACUGGCGAGUUUCGCUCGGUUCACUGCUUCUGCCACUGUGACAGCCUGGUGCUCGCCGCCACGGACACCAAGGUGUACCUAUUCAACCCCACAAUCAAGGACGUCGUCACGCUGCCGGACAGCAGCCGCAACAAGGUGCCCGGCUACACCGAAAGGCCCAUUGGGUUCGGCCGUGAUCCUCGCACUGGCAUGUACAAGGUUGUCCGGUCCUUAUUCGGUUCGACAGACUGUAAAACUGGGAUCGUCAGCAUGGGGAUGGAGGUGUGUACCGUGGGCAGCCCUGCUCCUCCUCAAUGGAGGGAAAUCGCGGGGGAUCAGCCAUAUGCCCCUGUGUCAUCGGUGCCCGCGCAAUCUGUCAAGGGGUGUGUGUACUGGAUAGUCGACGAUACCAACUUCGAGCCGCGCUCGCGUGGCCUCCUACGCUUCGACUUGGUCGACGAGGCAUUCAACUUCAUCAGUUUGCCUUCUGAUCUGUCGGACCUCGGAGAUGACGACAAUGACAAUGAACACUUCAACUUGAGUGUGUUGCACGGGGAGUUGUCUCUAACCGGCUAUCGCGUCAAUGAGCCUAACGACGUGCAUCGGCUGGUGGUGGUCUGGGCGCUCAUGGAAGACGGGGCAAGCUCCGUGUGGGAACCGCGUCAUACGUUGUAUGUCAUGGAACCGUGCCACCCAAUCGCUUUUCUUCCGGGCACGUUGAUGCUACGGUUCAAUCGCAAGCUCUGCCUCUACGAUCUGCAGUCACGUGAGCUGGCAAAUGCUUGUGAGCUGAUCAAGAUGAGAUACCGGCGUCAUGGGUCAGCCGAACUUGAGCCUGCUUGGAAGCAUGUGUACUUCUGCAACGUCAUACCCUACAUGGAAAGUCUUGUUCCAGUCGGUGCUCACAUGGCCUGA